Molecule: long non-coding RNA, 386 nt
Organism: Stomoxys calcitrans (stable fly)
Lineage: Eukaryota; Metazoa; Arthropoda; Insecta; Diptera; Muscidae
Exons: 2
Source: RefSeq, a predicted model, not a curated record
AAUCUGCCUCAAAGCUAUAUAAAGCAUUGAUUUAGUUAUCGAUUUACUAUUCAAGUUCCAGUUAUACAAGAAACUCAGUUUACAAGCAAAAUCAUGAAGUUUUUCUUUGCUCUCCUAAUUAUUGGUGCAUUGUGCGCGACCAUUAAUGCCGACGAUGACCAAGCCUUUACGAUAAACGUUGGCGGUGUUAAGGUUAAAUGUGCUAAAUUUUGGCCUAGCUCUUGCAACUUUGAUCCAAAUGGAGUGAACAGCAUUUUCGCAGGACCACCAAGUGAAACUUCAACAUGAUUCUGCUACGCAAUUACUUCGAAACAGAGAAGAUUCUGAUCACUUUGUUUUGUAAUUAUGGAUACAAUAUAUAAAAAUACAAACAAGUCCAUACAUUA